This 407-nucleotide ribosomal RNA is filed under the name uncultured bacterium. RNAcentral's name for it is "partial 16S ribosomal RNA". It matches the Rfam family "Bacterial small subunit ribosomal RNA", at positions 30 to 526 of the family's 1533-position model. The record is from RNAcentral.
AUUGAACGCUGGCGGCAGGCCUAACACAUGCAAGUCGAGCGGAGCGGCGGACGGGUGAGUAAUGCCUAGGAAUCUGCCUGGUAGUGGGGGAUAACGUCCGGAAACGGGCGCUAAUACCGCAUACUAUCAGAUGAGCCUAGGUCGGAUUAGCUAUGUGGUGGGGUAAAGGCCUACCAAGGCGACGAUCCGUAACUUGUCUGCGAGGGUGACCGGCCACAGUGGGACUGAGAUACGGCCCAGACGCCUACGGGAGGCAGCAGUGGGGGAUAUUGGCCAAUGGGCGAAAGCCUGCUCCAGCCAUGCCGCGUGUGUGAAGAAGGUCUUCGGAUUGUAAAGCACUUUAAGUUGGGAGGCGUUACCAACAGAAUAAGCACCGGCUAACUUCGUGCCAGCAGCCGCGGUAAUUC